Molecule: non-coding RNA, 1371 nt
Organism: Leptonychotes weddellii (Weddell seal)
Lineage: Eukaryota; Metazoa; Chordata; Mammalia; Carnivora; Phocidae
Source: RefSeq, a predicted model, not a curated record
GCCCCUUCGUCCCCGGUGCCCGGGCGCCCCGCGCCAGCCCCUACCCCUGCCCCGGUCCCCCAGCGGCGGCUGGAGAGGAGAAAGACCGAAACCCACCCCUACCACCCCCCGAGUUGCGGCUCUGCUGAUGAUUUCUGGGAAGUGCUGGAAAUAUGGCCGUAGAAAAAGAAUGGCGUCCAUUUACAUAAUGCUUUGUUUGCAUUUUGCAAGUUUCUUUCGGUUGAACCUGCAGAAACCCCACCUCCUAGUGUCGUUUUAGUCGUGGCAGUUUUGUCAGAUAUUUAAGACAAUGGUGUGCCAAGUAGUGCUGUGGGGGGGGUUCUUCCGAUUUUCCCCACGCCGUUUAAGCCCCGCUUCUGCCUUUUCUCCCGUUUCCCCCUUGGUGCAGACGCCGCGCCCCGCUCUUCGGGGGCGGCCCCUCUCGAGCCCCGCCAUCUUGGAAGGCCUUUCUUGCCGGUUCGCCACUGCACGUUCCUCUCACUAAAGAAAGGUCGCUUGCGUGCCUCCUACGAAUUCACUUAGGCCCAGAGAGAUGAAGUGACUAAUUCAAGGUCACACUAUGGCGGAUGGAAUCCAGACCUUCUGAUUUCCUUAUUGACCUGCAGUAUCUUGUGGAUAUAUGAGUGAAUUCCACACCACCCAUUUUACAGAUGAAGCCACUGAGAUAUGGAACAAUUGACUAAACAGUCACUGCCCCACCCCUGGAGCCUCCUACAUGACUCUUCUCCCAUUUGAAUGACUGCAGAUAGGCUCCACACCCAGCAUGGGACUUGAACUCACAACCCUGAGUUCAAGAGUUGCAUGCUGUACCAACUGAGCCCGCCAGGCACUCCGUCCAGUGCUCUUGUUUCUUACCAUUAUACUGUACCACCAUCAUGGAUUGAAGGGAAGAGAUUGGGCAUGAACUGUAUUUUGUCCAACUUGAGAGAAUGAUAGACUCUUGGAGCUGGAAAGGGCCUUUGCGGUAAUAGUCAAUCUCCUUGUCUCCUGUCUGCCAUCCAGUUACAGGAAUGCUUUCCAUUAUCCCCCUGACAGAUGAUCACCCAAGUUCUUUUUGAAUGUUUCCAUUGCUGGGGAGCUCAUCACUUCUUGAGGAAUCCCAUUAUAUGUUGAAUAGCUCUCUUUGGUGAAAAGUGGUCUUGUCACUAUAAUAUGGUAGUUGAGAAUGUGACUCUGAUAGAUGUGAUGUGAUAUAGUAUGUGACUCUGGAGCCAGCCUGCAGGGGCCUGAAUUCUGACUCAGCCACUUACUGUGUGACCUUGGAGGGAGAUACAUAGAGGAAAGACAUCCGUGUGAAGAUGGAAGCAGAGAUUGGAGUUGUGCUGCCACAAACCAAGGAAUGUCAAGAAUUGGCAACCACCAGAAGCUGGA